Molecule: long non-coding RNA, 255 nt
Organism: Branchiostoma belcheri (Belcher's lancelet)
Lineage: Eukaryota; Metazoa; Chordata; Leptocardii; Amphioxiformes; Branchiostomatidae
Exons: 3
Source: RefSeq, a predicted model, not a curated record
UCACUCCGCCGUCCAUAGCAACGCCGUUGCUAAGGACGACGUUUUCGCGGGCGGCGGGCUGAAAUUUCAUCCGAGUUGUUGACAGCCGAUUACAUCACCAGUUUCGGCCUCUGCAUCAAGAUGGCGAUCAUCCUAGGCUUCACCGACUGUAAAAUUGGUGAAAGCCAUGCCCAACAGGAUUGUCACCAGCAGGAUACCAGGAUGUUAUAUUUAGCUUGAGAUUAUGGAUAUAUAUAUAAGAUGUAUUAUGUACAG